CACGACGCAAGAAAGCCAAAGGAAGAAGAGAAAGUGAAGCUAUGGUUUUUUUUUUUUGGACAGAGGUGGCUGAUUGGUUUUGUUCCCGACAGGAGCGUCUUCACACGUCAGAUUGGCAUAAACAGUUUAUAUCGAGCCGAUAGCUAAUUGGCCUACGGGGCAUCGCAGACCAACGUGCUUCCACAGCCCAAGCCCAGAUAGCCGAAGUUAAAGCCCACGCGUGGGUUCAGUUGGCUAAAAUGCCGAAUAAACUAUCUUUUGUCCCCAUUCUUUUUCUUGUUUCCGUCUCAUUUUUACGUUAUUUUUUUUUGACUAGUUUGUUCAGAGAUGUUGCAUAGUAUGGCGUCCCAGUGCCACUCUUUUUGUAAAUUUUUUAAAUGUAACUCUAUUUUUUGUUGUAAAGAUAAAAAAUAAAUAGUAAAAACAGUAUUAUGGGUCUUCAAAACAUAGACCAUUGCUUAAUAAAUAAAUAUAAAUAUUUUAAUCCUUAAGUUGUUGAUGUAAUUUGAUUUGAAAAAAAAAUAUAUUAGAAUUACAUAAAUCAGUUGAUGGCCUAACUAAUCAAAAUAUAAACUAAAAUCUUGAUAUGUUUGUCAUCAAAUCUAAUCAAAUUAAAUGUUUCUCCAAAUUAUCCGCAUAUACCGGUGUAAAUCUCUAAGUGUUCAUAUAACAAAUCUCAACGCAGGCUAACAUGUGGAAAUCGAGAGAGAUCUCAUUCAUACUUCGUACUCAUCAAUAGAGAAACCAAUUAUUGACAGGACUAACCAC
RNAcentral lists this long non-coding RNA (768 nucleotides) under Sorghum bicolor (sorghum). RNAcentral describes it as "long non-coding RNA (SBIC_LNC011550)". The record is from RNAcentral. Lineage: Eukaryota; Viridiplantae; Streptophyta; Magnoliopsida; Poales; Poaceae.